UUUAAUUCCUUAACUAUCACAGCCACACCGACACCUUUAAAACCAAUAAAAGUAUAUUUGGCAACGGAAUCAAAACUGUUUCUUUUAAUGGUCGGACAAUUAAUCCUUUCCACCAUAUUAAGAAAGGUAAUAAUAUGGUGCGAUUCAGGUGAUUUUGAAAGAAAAAGAAAAAGAAUUUUGAUACCUAUAAUGUGCCAACGCCAAUCCACUUAGUAUAGAAGAAUAUUCCCACCAUCCAGUUCACGAUUUUUUUGCAUAUUUAAUUCCUUAACUAUCACAGCCACACCGACACCUUUAAAACUAAUAAAAGUAUAUUUGGCAACGGAAUCACAACUGUUUCCAUCACUGGUGGGACAAUUAAUCCUUUCCACUAUAUUUAGAGAUGCUUUCAUCCUUUAUAUCUGCUCAAUAUACAGCUUAUUCUCUCUAAUACGAGUCCUACCAAAUGGCCGAUGAAGAAGGUGACAU
This 468-nucleotide long non-coding RNA is filed under the name Musa acuminata (dwarf banana). Its description in RNAcentral is "long non-coding RNA (MACU_LNC011454)". Lineage: Eukaryota; Viridiplantae; Streptophyta; Magnoliopsida; Zingiberales; Musaceae. The record is from RNAcentral.